GGGCCUGUAGCUCAGCUGGGAGAGCGCCGCGUUCGCAAUGCGGAGGUCAGGAGUUCGAUCCUCCUCACGUCCACCA
Molecule: transfer RNA, 76 nt
Filed under: Blastocatellia bacterium
Lineage: Bacteria; Pseudomonadati; Acidobacteriota; Blastocatellia
Description: tRNA-Ala
Rfam family: tRNA
About the family: Transfer RNA (tRNA) molecules are approximately 80 nucleotides in length. Their secondary structure includes four short double-helical elements and three loops (D, anti-codon, and T loops). Further hydrogen bonds mediate the characteristic L-shaped molecular structure. tRNAs have two regions of fundamental functional importance: the anti-codon, which is responsible for specific mRNA codon recognition, and the 3' end, to which the tRNAs corresponding amino acid is attached (by aminoacyl-tRNA synthetases). tRNAs cope with the degeneracy of the genetic code in two manners: having more than one tRNA (with a specific anti-codon) for a particular amino acid; and 'wobble' base-pairing, i.e. permitting non-standard base-pairing at the 3rd anti-codon position.
Source: RNAcentral